Molecule: transfer RNA, 76 nt
Filed under: Caldimonas brevitalea
Lineage: Bacteria; Pseudomonadati; Pseudomonadota; Betaproteobacteria; Burkholderiales; Sphaerotilaceae
Description: [Polyangium] brachysporum tRNA
Rfam family: tRNA
About the family: Transfer RNA (tRNA) molecules are approximately 80 nucleotides in length. Their secondary structure includes four short double-helical elements and three loops (D, anti-codon, and T loops).
Source: Rfam by way of RNAcentral
GCGGAUAUAGCUCAGUGGGUAGUAGAGCGCGACCACGCCAUGGUCGAGGCCCCGGGUUCGAACCCCGGUAUCCGCU